RNAcentral lists this long non-coding RNA (468 nucleotides) under Hordeum vulgare. Its description in RNAcentral is "long non-coding RNA (HVUL_LNC002964)". Lineage: Eukaryota; Viridiplantae; Streptophyta; Magnoliopsida; Poales; Poaceae. The record is from RNAcentral.
UGACUGAACUUUAGGCAUGGCUACGAAAUACAACAUGUCACUAUUGAGUUCCAAUGAUGAAUUAGCACAAGAUACACUAAAAACAAGAUUACUCUACUCUGAAAGUUGAGAUGCUAGAAAGCAUCACCGGAAUAGUAGAACUUGUUGAAAUAUAUGUUCCAGGGACAAUACUUUAGUUACUUGAACAUCUUUCAAAGGGAAAUACAAGUUUUCUCAACUGAUACGAUACAGGGUCAAUUUUUUUCGAGAAAACGCAAAAGAAUUUGCAUUUCAUUGCAUUGAACAGGAAGAAGACAUCGGGGGUACAACCUCCAGAAAGGAGGGACACACACACACGACCGUUCUCACCAAGCGACUACAACUAGGUAAGGAGGUGCCCUCAGCUACAGACACACAACGAUAUUAGGCCUCGCCCUGCCGCCAUUGCAAGACACCUCUAGGAACAAUUGCAGCUCCAGGACUGCCCAG